Gymnothorax javanicus (giant moray) is the source of this 73-nucleotide non-coding RNA. Lineage: Eukaryota; Metazoa; Chordata; Actinopteri; Anguilliformes; Muraenidae. The record is from the annotation of a GenBank genome assembly.
GGCACGGUGGCACAGCGGUUAGCACUCCGGCCUCACAGCAAGAAGGUCGUGGGUUUGAAUCCAACCUGGGGCG